This 94-nucleotide transfer RNA is filed under the name Klebsiella pneumoniae. RNAcentral's name for it is "tRNA-Asp(gtc)". The record is from RNAcentral. Lineage: Bacteria; Pseudomonadati; Pseudomonadota; Gammaproteobacteria; Enterobacterales; Enterobacteriaceae.
GAUGCCUGUCAGUCUGGGUUCAGACCUAUUGUUGUCAGCGAUGCUGUAAUGGAUCGCGUUGAAGCGUCUCAUGUGCAAAGCCUGAUUGAUAUCA